This 484-nucleotide ribosomal RNA is filed under the name uncultured bacterium. RNAcentral describes it as "partial 16S ribosomal RNA". It matches the Rfam family "Bacterial small subunit ribosomal RNA", at positions 28 to 523 of the family's 1533-position model. The record is from RNAcentral.
GAUGAACGCUGGCGGCGUGCUUAACACAUGCAAGUCGAACGGUGAAGCAGGAGCUUGCUCUUGUGGAUCAGUGGCGAACGGGUGAGUAACACGUGAGCAACCUGCCCCUGACUCUGGGAUAAGCGCUGGAAACGGCGUCUAAUACUGGAUAUGUGAUGUGACCGCAUGGUCUGCAUCUGGAAAGAAUUUCGGUUGGGGAUGGGCUCGCGGCCUAUCAGCUUGUUGGUGAGGUAAUGGCUCACCAAGGCGUCGACGGGUAGCCGGCCUGAGAGGGUGACCGGCCACACUGGGACUGAGACACGGCCCAGACUCCUACGGGAGGUAGCAGUGGGGAAUAUUGCACAAUGGGCGGAAGCCUGAUUCAGCAACGCCGCGUGAGGGAUGACGGCCUUCGGGUUGUAAACCUCUUUUAGCAGGGAAGAAGCGAAAGUGACGGUACCUGCAGAAAAAGCACCGGCUAACUACGUGCCAGCCGCCGCGGUAA